UGUUUUUAAAAGAAGAACAUUUUUGAGAGUAACUGUUCAGGUAUUGACGGUAUUUAACCAGAAAGCCAGGGCUAAUUACGUGCCAGCAGCCGCGGUAAUACGUAGGUGGCCAGCGUUGUCCGGAUUUAUUGGGCGUAAAGCGAGCGCCGGCGGUUUUUUAAGUCUGAUGUGAAAGCCUUCGGCUCAACCGAAGAAGUGCAUCGGAAACUGGGAAACUUGAGUGCAGAAGAGGACAGUGGAACUCCAUGUGUAGCGGUGAAAUGCGUAGAUAUAUGGAAGAACACCAGUGGCGAAGGCGGCUGUCUGGUCUGUAACUGACGCUGAGGCUCGAAAGUAUGGGUAGCAAACAGGAUUAGAUACCCUGGUAGUCCAUACCGUAAACGAUGAAUGCUAAGUGUUGGAGGGUUUCCGCCCUUCAGUGCUGCAGCUAACGCAUUAAGCAUUCCGCCUGGGGAGUACGGCCGCAAGGCUGAAACUCAAAGGAAUUGACGGGGGCCCGCACAAGCGGUGGAGCAUGUGGUUUAAUUCGAAGCUACGCGAAGAACCUUACCAGGUCUUGACAUACUAUGCAAAUCUAAGAGAUUAGACGUUCCCUUCGGGGACAUGGAUACAGGUGGUGCAUGGUUGUCGUCAGCUCGUGUCGUGAGAUGUUGGGUUAAGUCCCGCAACGAGCGCAACCCUUAUUAUCAGUUGCCAGCAUUAAGUUGGGCACUCUGGUGAGACUGCCGGUGACAAACCGGAGGAAGGUGGGGAUGACGUCAAAUCAUCAUGCCCCUUAUGACCUGGGCUACACACGUGCUACAAUGGAUGGUACAACGAGUUGCGAACUCGCGAGAGUAAGCUAAUCUCUUAAAGCCAUUCUCAGUUCGGAUUGUAGGCUGCAACUCGCCUACAUGAAGUCGGAAUCGCUAGUAAUCGCGGAUCAGCAUGCCGCGGUGAAUACGUUCCCGGGCCUUGUACACACCGCCCGUCACACCAUGAGAGUUUGUAACACCCAAAGUCGGUGGGGUAACCUUUAGGAACCAGCCGCCUAAGGUGACAGAAGUGGGA
Molecule: ribosomal RNA, 1050 nt
Filed under: Lactiplantibacillus plantarum
Lineage: Bacteria; Bacillati; Bacillota; Bacilli; Lactobacillales; Lactobacillaceae
Description: bacterial SSU rRNA
Rfam family: Bacterial small subunit ribosomal RNA
Source: RNAcentral